Molecule: ribosomal RNA, 579 nt
Filed under: uncultured bacterium
Lineage: Bacteria
Description: bacterial SSU rRNA
Rfam family: Bacterial small subunit ribosomal RNA
Source: RNAcentral
GGCGGGGUAACGGCCCACCAAGGCGACGAUGCGUAGGGGUUCUGAGAGGAAGGUCCCCCACACUGGUACUGAGACACGGACCAGACUCCUACGGGAGGCAGCAGUGAGGAAUAUUGGUCAAUGGGCGCGAGCCUGAACCAGCCAAGUCGCGUGAGGGAAGACGGUCCUAUGGAUUGUAAACCUCUUUUGUCGGGGAGCAAAAGACGCCACGCGUGGCGUUCCGAGAGUACCCGAAGAAAAAGCAUCGGCUAACUCCGUGCCAGCAGCCGCGGUAAUACGGAGGAUGCGAGCGUUAUCCGGAUUUAUUGGGUUUAAAGGGUGCGCAGGCGGAAGAUCAAGUCAGCGGUAAAAUUGAGAGGCUCAACCUCUUCGAGCCGUUGAAACUGGUUUUCUUGAGUGAGCGAGAAGUAUGCGGAAUGCGUGGUGUAGCGGUGAAAUGCAUAGAUAUCACGCAGAACUCCGAUUGCGAAGGCAGCAUACCGGCGCUCAACUGACGCUCAUGCACGAAAGUGUGGGUAUCGAACAGGAUUAGAUACCCUGGUAGUCCACACAGUAAACGAUGAAUAAUAAUUGUUCGGG